GAGCGGCCUUGCCUUUGCCGGUGGCGGUGGC
Molecule: non-coding RNA, 31 nt
Filed under: Geobacter sulfurreducens KN400
Lineage: Bacteria; Pseudomonadati; Thermodesulfobacteriota; Desulfuromonadia; Geobacterales; Geobacteraceae
Source: RNAcentral